UUCUAACGUGGACCCGUAAUCCGGGUUGCGGACAGUGUCUGGUGGGUAGUUUGACUGGGGCGGUCUCCUCCUAAAGAGUAACGGAGGAGCACGAAGGUUGGCUAAUCCUGGUCGGACAUCAGGAGGUUAGUGCAAUGGCAUAAGCCAGCUUGACUGCGAGCGUGACGGCGCGAGCAGGUGCGAAAGCAGGUCAUAGUGAUCCGGUGGUUCUGAAUGGAAGGGCCAUCGCUCAACGGAUAAAAGGUACUCCGGGGAUAACAGGCUGAUACCGCCCAAGAGUUCAUAUCGACGGCGGUGUUUGGCACCUCGAUGUCGGCUCAUCACAUCCUGGGGCUGAAGUAGGUCCCAAGGGUAUGGCUGUUCGCCAUUUAAAGUGGUACGCGAGCUGGGUUUAGAACGUCGUGAGACAGUUCGGUCCCUAUCUGCCGUGGGCGCUGGAGAACUGAGGGGGGCUGCUCCUAGUACGAGAGGACCGGAGUGGACGCAUCACUGGUGUUCGGGUUGUCAUGCCAAUGGCACUGCCCGGUAGCUAAAUGCGGAAGAGAUAAGUGCUGAAAGCAUCUAAGCACGAAACUUGCCCCGAGAUGAGUUCUCCCUGAGACUUAGAGUCUCCUGAAGGAACGUUGAAGACGACGACGUUGAUAGGCCGGGUGUGUAAGCGCAGCGAUGCGUUGAGCUAACCGGUACUAAUGAACCGUGAGGCUUAACCUUACA
This 714-nucleotide ribosomal RNA is filed under the name Salmonella enterica. Its description in RNAcentral is "partial 23S ribosomal RNA". It matches the Rfam family "Bacterial large subunit ribosomal RNA", at positions 2220 to 2925 of the family's 2925-position model. RNAcentral also lists the same sequence under 1 other name. The record is from RNAcentral. Lineage: Bacteria; Pseudomonadati; Pseudomonadota; Gammaproteobacteria; Enterobacterales; Enterobacteriaceae.